This 2331-nucleotide long non-coding RNA is filed under the name Olea europaea (common olive). RNAcentral's name for it is "long non-coding RNA (OEUR_LNC005476)". The record is from RNAcentral. Lineage: Eukaryota; Viridiplantae; Streptophyta; Magnoliopsida; Lamiales; Oleaceae.
UUUAUCAGUUAACACAUAGAAAGGGGUGGGGGUGGAGAGCUAGUGAAAUUGGCUUUUUACUCCAGUUACGAAUGCCCACACUGAAAAAUAUAAUAAAGGGUCGUUUCCAAAUACAGUUCGUAAAUGAGAAACAAGAAGUAACGAAAUAAACAUUAUGAAAAUUCGUAUAUAAGAUGAUAAACAAAGAGCAGUUAAAUUACUGAUACACAGUACAAACCUAGUGAAAAGGAACCAGCAUACCAGUUAUUAUUAUUCUUUACAAAUUAUCAAAAUUCCUAAACGAAAUUAGACAAGGGCCAACAAAUUUAGGAGGAUUAAAACACAAAAAUGAAACUAUUUCACACACAUCAUCCGAAUAUAUCUACAGGUGAAAUAAAAAAUAAAUCAACACCGUACAAAAAUGCGAACGAUUAAAAGAGAGCUGAAUUAAAGGAAACCCAUAAAGUAAAACCGGCAAAAAAGAAAAAAAAAAAUUGUGCGUCGAGUCGGCGCGGUGCUGAGCAGCAGACAAUUUAUCCUUACAAAUGAAAUUAAAGAUGAAUUCCCUCAAAAAAAAUUUACACACCCCAUUCAAGAGAAGCUCUAUUUUGAAAAGAAAAAAAAAAUCCAAGUAAAACCGACAAAAUUUUGAGGAAAGGUGCUGACCAACGCGUGGCGUUCACCAGCCUGAAAGGAGAGUCUCUGGUGGUGCAUGGCCUGGCUGUAAAGCUGAGAGAGGGAGUUAGCCGCACUACAGAAGGUAGAGUACAUGGUUCGAUCCACCUCAUCCAGCCUCGUCGCAUCGGAUUUUCUCUUCUUCGCCAUUAUUAUAAAUAAAUGGAGAUUGAAGAUCUUCUUUACCAAAUUUUAUCACAAAACCUAGAAUGGUUUGCCUGAAUAAAUAUGUCUCUCUCUAUAUAUAUCUGUGCAUUUUGGGUUUGGGGAAGUUCUCAACGAGAAUCGGAACAAGCUUUUAUAGAUAGAUAGAGAAAGAGGGAUGGUUGAGCUAGUGGGGAAAGGUACCAGUUGUGUUUUAGGAGAGAUGCUUGCGUACCGUAAUACGUGGUGAAACAGUUCCUUGACGACUCCUCGUUGGAUGGUCACGUCAUUCAGGACAGUGUAACUGUUCUACCCAAUUAUUUCUCGUGUUUUAGGACAGAGAAAUGCUACAGAAAUAGGUUGAAAAAUAGGGUUAAAAACAAGUUGUACACGUGUCGAUGUCUAAUUUAAGAGUUUGAAUUUUUUUUUAAAAAAUAAAAUCCAACAACAUACUGUCACACCAGCUUUUUUUCCCCCAAUUUUUGAGUCUGGCUAAUGAUCAUUUUUCUUUAGGGCAUGCCAAUUUGUUUAUAAUUCAUUUGACAAAUUUCAUUUGCUGCCAAAUCAAUUGACCUAGUUUCAACUAGGAUGAAAGUUUAGAGCCUAUUUAAGUCUCAUUUUAUUGUAAAAAUAUAUUUUAAAAUAGUAAAUUGAUGAAAAAUAUANNNNNNNNNNNNNNNNNNNNNNNNNNNNNNNNNNNNNNNNNNNNNNNNNNNNNNNNNNNNNNNNNNNNNNNNNNNNNNNNNNNNNNNNNNNNNNNNNNNNNNNNNNNNGAAACAAGAAGUAACGAAAUAAACAUUAUGAAAAUUCGUAUAUAAGAUGAUAAACAAAGAGCAGUUAAAUUACUGAUACACAGUACAAACCUAGUGAAAAGGAACCAGCAUACCAGUUAUUAUUAUUCUUUACAAAUUAUCAAAAUUCCUAAACGAAAUUAGACAAGGGCCAACAAAUUUAGGAGGAUUAAAACACAAAAAUGAAACUAUUUCACACACAUCAUCCGAAUAUAUCUACAGGUGAAAUAAAAAAUAAAUCAACACCCAACACCGUACAAAAAUGCGAACGAUUAAAAGAGAGCUGAAUUAAAGGAAACCCAUAAAGUAAAACCGGCAAAAAAAAAAAAAAAAUUGUGCGUCGAGUCGGCGCGGUGCUGAGCAGCAGACAAUUUAUCCUUACAAAUGAAAUUAAAGAUGAAUUCCCUCAAAAAAAAUUUACACACCCCAUUCAAGAGAAGCUCUAUUUUGAAAAGAAAAAAAAAAUCCAAGUAAAACCGACAAAAUUUUGAGGAAAGGUGCUGACCAACGCGUGGCGUUCACCAGCCUGAAAGGAGAGUCUCUGGUGGUGCAUGGCCUGGCUGUAAAGCUGAGAGAGGGAGUUAGCCGCACUACAGAAGGUAGAGUACAUGGUUCGAUCCACCUCAUCCAGCCUCGUCGCAUCGGAUUUUCUCUUCUUCGCCAUUAUUAUAAAUAAAUGGAGAUUGAAGAUCUUCUUUACCAAAUUUUAUCACAAAACCUAGAAUGGUUUGCCUGAAUAAAU